AUUCCUCUUCCAUCCCUUCAGGAAACACACACACACACACACACCAAGUUCCAACAGUCUGCUGUCACAAAAGCACCACUCGCUUUUUUCCAGUCUCUCAGGGACCAUUUCCUGUUUCAGAUGCCCUUGAUUGACCUUUUACUUUGUCUGGGAAAGCCAAGGCUUUGCUAGACCACUCCAAGACUCUGCUUCUGGACGCCCCCCCCCCAGCUUUACAUGGGAAGUGCUUUUUCCAGUCUGACUCUAAACCCAGCCUCCUAUGACCACCAUCUACUGCAUGGAGGAACGAGUUCUUUCCCAAGGUGGACAUGUUGAGCGGGACUCCACGGAUGUCUUCUGAUGGACCACCAAACCAACAAUGCUGUCCCCAACUCACCCUGCUCUCUGGAGAUCUCAGGCUUGUACCAAUACUUGGAAGUGUCCUGGACAAACUUCACUUUAGCCCGUGUCUCGGGACUGUUGUCUGAAGGAGGAAACGAAAGGACAGUGUUACAGUCACAUUGCAUGCUCCCCAAAAGAUGCCAAUACCCUAACACCCCAAACCUUCUCCAAAAGAUGCCAAUACCCUAACACCCCAAACCUUCCCCAAAAGAUGCCAAUACCCUAACACCCCAAACCUUCCCCAAAAGAUGCCAAUACCCUAACACCCCAAACCUUCCCCAAAAGAUGCUAAUACCCUAACACCCCAAACCUACAAAUGUGGCCUUAUUGAAAAGAGGGUCCUUGUGAAUGUAAUCACAUUUCGACAAAGGCAUGCCAGACUGGGUGAGACCUCAUCCAACACGACGAGUAUCUUUUAAAGUAGGGAAGAGACAGCAAACACAUGGGGACAGCACCAGGUGACUAUGGGAAUGUCUGAAGACACAGAGCACAUCAUCAGAAGCAUCCGUCUGAGUCUCUGCCCACACCAGGAUUUUGAUCUCUGGCCUUUGGUUGGCAUAUCCUGCUUGUGCUUUGCCUCCCAAGCUCAGCCUGAUAUCCAUGAACAGGGGACAAGAAGACCUACAUCUCUCUCCUGUGGCCCAUCCCCAGUUGAUCCCCACACUGAAAGUGGCAUUCUUUAUCAGCAUGGUCAGAAGUCACUCCCAUCCUCUAACAUCUAGACCAAGGAAUGGUCACUACUCUAGUGGCCAUCUAUACAGGGUGUCACACAUAGCCAGAUGAUAUCCCUACUCAGUCGCUCUUUCUGAGAACACUACAUUGUGUAGGGGGACUGGACAUCAUUGAGUCCAACUGUGGCAUUUCCCUGGGCUUGGCAUGUUCCAGUCUCUUCCUCCCAGUGCAGGGACUAUAUAUGAGUGUUAUAGUGCCUGGCUCCUUAUCAUGAUGUCUUUAUCUGAGCCUCCAAAGUCCUCAACCUUGGUUCUUCAUAAAAUACUUACUAUUAUUUUGAAUUACAA
Long non-coding RNA from Mesocricetus auratus (golden hamster), 1400 nucleotides. RefSeq lists it as uncharacterized. Lineage: Eukaryota; Metazoa; Chordata; Mammalia; Rodentia; Cricetidae. The transcript is spliced from 3 exons. The record is from RefSeq and is a predicted model, not a curated record.